Molecule: long non-coding RNA, 1033 nt
Filed under: Marmota monax (woodchuck)
Lineage: Eukaryota; Metazoa; Chordata; Mammalia; Rodentia; Sciuridae
Source: RNAcentral
UGCCCAACGGCUUGGAUCUGAAUGUGCAGCUCUGCUUGGGAAGCGAGGGGAAUCAGGUGUCGGGAGAAAAGCUUUCUGUCUUUCACUCCUGAGAUGUUCACUGUGGGCUUUUCACACACGGCCGUUAUGGUGAGGUUUCCUUUUUUUUUUUUUUUAAGAAUUUAACCUUUAUUUGUUUGUUGUUGUUGUUUAUUUGUUUUUAUUUGGUGCUGAGGACAGAACCCAGGGCCUUACCCGUCCUAGGCAAGUGCUCUACCGCUGAGCGACAGCCCCAGCCCCAGCCCAGAUGUAGUUUCCUUUUAUUCCUAGCCUGUCAUGAAUGCAUGGAUUUUGUUAACCACGUGGGCGGGACGUGGACGGGACGUGGACGGGACGUGGACGCUCCUGCCCCUUCCCAGUGCUGUGCAGGCCCACUUCCACACAGCGGGCAGCCGAAGCUGCUUGUCUUAGCAGGCUGCGGGGCUGGGCUCAUGCCAUCCUCGGGGACACUGCUCUGUGGCCUCCUUUUCCUGCAGAGACUCCCUCGGGCUUUAGUGCAGGGUGAUGCUGGCCUCAGAAACGAGCUCCUCCCCUUCACUUCCGUGGACAUUCCAGGAACUGACUUUCCCUGUCCCCUGCGCGUUGGUGGCUGCAGGCCCUGGCUCCCUGAGGGGACUUCACCGCUAACGUGGCCCACGCCAGCCCAGCCCUGCAGAGCUCCCUCCUCUGACGCAUCAGCCUAGGCAGGAGUGUCCUGUGGCGGUCCCUCCACGGGUCUCCAGCUUCCUGGGCUGCGGCUCCGUGCUGCUCUCAUGGCCCUGGGUCUUUGUGGACUUAUGCAACUCCACUGUCAUGGCCACCAUGGGGACUGCAGGCUCCUCCUCGCCGCCCAGCUGGCCCAGGGCCGUCCAUGUGGUCCACCUGCUCAGAGGAUGGGCUUGGUGUGCUGGCCGUCUCUGUUUCAAGGCUCUCUAGCGUGUUGGCUGGACCGUCCCCUCCUGCUGUCAGCACGGCCUGCUGUCCUCUGGUCCUCACGCUGUGGCGUCGGCGUGGC